RNAcentral lists this small nucleolar RNA (107 nucleotides) under Hydnomerulius pinastri MD-312. Lineage: Eukaryota; Fungi; Basidiomycota; Agaricomycetes; Boletales. The record is from RNAcentral.
GUUUGAUGAACUCUUAGAUGACGAGUCUGAGCUUGCUGGCGUGAGGUUUCCUUGCGUCGGCUUUUGUGACGAGUCUUUCAAAUUUUACCAUUCAUGCAUAUCUGAUU